UGGAGGGAGAAAGGAAUGGGCUGAGAGCUGAACUUGCCAAAGAAAAGGAGAAAAAUGAAGGCUUGCUCCAGCAAAUGUUAAAUCUGCUACAAGCCCAACCCUCCAGCACUUCCAAGCCUUAGGUGUCAUGUCCUUAGUGUCCAGUCUAGUCACCCUUCUGUUUCCAAUUUCCAAGUUUAGGAAGUUCUUGUUCUGUUCUUAUUCUAUUUUUUGCUCAUGGUUGGAUAUUUUGUCUUUCUUGUUUGUUGAUUGCAUUGUAGAAACACCCCUUUGAUCAAUGAAUGCAGCUUUUUUGAUUCUUGUUGAAUUUAUUCUAAAUAGUUAUUUUUAAGUUGAUUUGUGAUUAACUUGACUAUGUGUUCACUUGCAGUUGCCCCAGCGGCCAUGAGUAUUAAUUAACUUCGAGGAUUCAUAGUAUUUAUGCAACUUUUUGAUGAUGCCAAAAGGGGGAAGAUAUUGUGCUUAAAAUUCAUUAUCUGAACUAGUGAUGUUUAUGACCUAAAUCUGACCUCCUUGAUGAUAAGUUACAAUUUUCUAAGUGUUGAUUUUCAGCUGAGUUCACAGAUUUUCUGAUCACAAUAAGCACAGAGUUUGUCAUUAUAAAAAUGGGAAAAUUGUUGGCCCAAGUUUCAGUUGGAGUUUUGAAGAUUGACACUAUGGAAGGACCUGGUCCAUCUUUUACUGCACAGUCUGAAUUAACCAGUGCAUAUGUGAAGCACGGGAGGAAGAUAUGCACUAAAGAUCACGCAUCAAUAUCUUCUGAACGUAAUCGAAAAGGUUGCAUUUGGGAUAAGGAGGACAGUCUCCUUAUGUGAAGAGAACUUGAUUCUAAGUUAGGAAGAGUUGGAGUUUGUAUUGGCUAAGGACUUAAAUGGACUACGGAUAAGAAGUGUAGUUGUAAUCAAACUCUAGCUACUAACUCAAUAUAUUAUUGUGUUGGUUCUCUUUUACAGGUAACACACACAACCAGAAGUAAAGAAUAUUUGAGAGCAAAUAAAGUAAGUCUGGUUUGCAAGCAAUAUAUACAAGAUAUAAGUGUGUACGCCUGAAGCUACAUGAACUAACAGAGAAGAACCAGUUCCAUUUGUG
RNAcentral lists this long non-coding RNA (1089 nucleotides) under Nicotiana benthamiana. RNAcentral describes it as "long non-coding RNA (NBEN_LNC029041)". Lineage: Eukaryota; Viridiplantae; Streptophyta; Magnoliopsida; Solanales; Solanaceae. The record is from RNAcentral.